RNAcentral lists this long non-coding RNA (1994 nucleotides) under Salvator merianae (Argentine black and white tegu). Its description in RNAcentral is "lncRNA (ENSSMRG00000007981.1)". Lineage: Eukaryota; Metazoa; Chordata; Lepidosauria; Squamata; Teiidae. The record is from RNAcentral.
GUUGCGUUCCUCUAAAACAACUAGAGAGUUAACAGUUUGCUUUCAGCAGACUUUGUCCACGUUUUUCUCUCCCUUUUUUCUUCUUCCCUCNGACAACAACUCUGUUAUAGUGUGGUGGGAGACUAAAGCUUGCAGCACUGCCACAUGGCAACCAGGCCAUGCACCUUACUAGCCGCACCUGCUGCAAAUUUCAGCUUCCAAGGCAAAACAAUCCCCACCUGGAUAUUCAAUGCGCCAUUCCUACCUAUUUUAACUUCUGUGCCCACCCACCUGCAGUUUCAAUCGGUCGGUAAAUCUAUGCCAUCUAUUUUUAUUCCUUUUGCUGCAGCGCGUUAAGUAUAUUACUUGGAAUUAUUGGCGCCCCACCCCCGCUCCCUCCGCAAAGGUGUUUUUUGUUUGUUUGUUUUUUUACACGCGUCUCGUCCAAUCCAAACUGGCACUCACACACGACCGUUUUUAAGCCUCCGCCUCCUCGCGCCCUCUCUAAAGAUGGCGAAAAUUGGCACACAGCCUCAGCAGCCGCCUUCGAAUCCGCCGAAAAGGGCCGCUGUGCUAACGGUAGUCCACCCGUCCCUUACUAAAGAUGGCCGAGUCCACCUCAGCAGCAGCGCCGUCGCCAUGCUUAGGACAUCCUGACCGAGAAGCUCGCUGGCUGGCUGGCUGGCUGGCUGCUGGACUUGGGGGAAAGAUGUCGGCGGCGCCGGGACAAGCAGGAAGUUCUCCCGAGGGUCCGUCCGCGGCUGAGCGGCGCGCAGGGGAGACGGCGCGCCGUGCUGGCGGCAGUCCUCCCCGGGCGGCUUCGCUGCCAGGAGUGGAUGCGGCUCGGCGGGGGCUGAGGCUUCGCAACGCCCUCACGGGCCUGAGCAUCGGAGCCAUAGUCGCAGGCAUUUAUGCCUACACCUUUUAUUCUGUCUCCCAAGAGCNUUUCCUGGAUGAGUUAGAAGUGGAAGCCAAAGUCCUUCAGGCACGAGCAGCAAAGACUCCAUCAGACUGAUGAUCGUAGAGUGCGAGAUAAAAAUGGGCCACCAGUUCAGAUGGACGGGGAUGGAAUUAGACUUGUUUCCUUGAAUGCCUUUUCAGCCUGUAUUUGAGGACGUGUUGGCAAAAUGCCCUGGCACGUUUAUCUCCUCCUUGUGGCAUAAGACAACAGUCCAGUGCAUCUAACCCUGCACCACAGAUAUGUUAAAACCAUCCAAUUUAGCCAUUUGAUUUGAGAUGUUGAUAAAUGAGCUUCAUCUGUGUAAGAGGUGUAUGUUUUGGGGUUAAUACUCACAAGGCGUGAGGGAGACUGUGGUGUAAAAUGAGAACUUCUCUAAAUUUCUUAAGUGUGUUAAAAUAUGCAUUAGAAAUUAAAUUAGUAGGAUGAACAAUUGCUCCCAUCAUUUACUUGGCUUCUACACAUUUCAUUUAAACAAAAUGUUUUGAAGUAAACAAUGUCUUGCCGUAAUCUUUACUGAUAUGUAUGGAAGUGUGACACUAAGAUUGUACAACCCAAGAUCAGUAAACUGUUGCUUUAAAAAUCUAUUUCAAUUGCCUCAUGAGGUUUUCUUUAAAAAGGAUUUAUGUUCUCCAGGUGUAUGAGUAUUUCUUCAGUUUGCUGAUCUAAAACAAGUAUAGNCUAUACGCAUUCUGAACUGAAUACCAGUUUUUUUAAUGGUCUGAUUCUCAGGGUCCAUCCACACCUAAGUUUUAAUCCUACUUCAGUCUACUUUCACAUUGAAAGAACNCAUCAGCUAAUUGACUAANCAUUUUCUCUCCACAUUAUCUAACCCAAAAGUGGAUUUUUUGAUUAGAUAAUGCUGACAGAAAACAUCUUAUUACUUCACUGAGGUCUUCUUUCAGUCUGAAACCGAAGUUNGUGCAAUUGACCCCUAAGAGACACUUUUGUGAAGCAGCCAAAUAAGGAGAAGGUUGUAGGCUAAAACUGCACCAGGCAGGAUGAGAAUGUGCUAAGUCUUUUUUUUUUACCNAAUGCAAGCUUCCUUUUUCAGCUG